This 253-nucleotide ribosomal RNA is filed under the name uncultured bacterium. Its description in RNAcentral is "partial 16S ribosomal RNA". It matches the Rfam family "Bacterial small subunit ribosomal RNA", at positions 524 to 776 of the family's 1533-position model. The record is from RNAcentral.
UACAGAGGGUGCAAACGUUGCUCGGAAUUAUUGGGCGUAAAGCGCACGUAGGCGGUUCGUUAAGUCAGAUGUGAAAGCCCCGGGCUCAACUCGGGAAGUGCAUUUGAAACUGGCGAGCUUGAAUAUGGAAGAGGGUCGCGGAAUUCCCGAUGUAGCGGUGAAAUGCGCAGAUAUCAGGAGGAACACCGGUGGCGAAGGCGGGUCUCUGGGCCGAUAUUGACGCUGAGGAGCGAAAGCGUGGGGAGCGAACAGG